AUUGAACGCUGGCGGCAGGCUUAACACAUGCAAGUCGAGCGGGGAAAUAUAGCUUGCUAUAUGACCUAGCGGCGGACGGGUGAGUAAUGCUUAGGAAUCUGCCUAUUAGUGGGGGACAACAUUUCGAAAGGGAUGCUAAUACCGCAUACGCCCUACGAGGGAAAGCAGGGGAUCAUUUGACCUUGCGCGAAUAGAUGAGCCUAAGUCGGAUUAGCUAGUUGGUGGGGUAAAGGCCUACCAAGGCGACGAUCUGUAGCGGGUCUGAGAGGAUGAUCCGCCACACUGGGACUGAGACACGGCCCAGACUCCUACGGGAGGCAGCAGUGGGGAAUAUUGGACAAUGGGGGAAACCCUGAUCCAGCCAUGCCGCGUGUGUGAAGAAGGCCUUUUGGUUGUAAAGCACUUUAAGCGAGGAGGAGGCUCCUGUAGAUAAUACCUACAGUGAGUGGACGUUACUCGCAGAAUAAGCACCGGCUAACUCUGUGCCAGCCGCCGCCGUAA
This 501-nucleotide ribosomal RNA is filed under the name uncultured bacterium. Its description in RNAcentral is "partial 16S ribosomal RNA". It matches the Rfam family "Bacterial small subunit ribosomal RNA", at positions 30 to 523 of the family's 1533-position model. The record is from RNAcentral.